Molecule: long non-coding RNA, 1065 nt
Filed under: Anas platyrhynchos platyrhynchos (common mallard)
Lineage: Eukaryota; Metazoa; Chordata; Aves; Anseriformes; Anatidae
Description: lncRNA (ENSAPLG00000019850.1)
Source: RNAcentral
AGAACUCCCACUGUAAGCCUUGGCUUAUUACUUGGGAAUGACUAAGAAGAAGAAAAAAUGAGGUAUAUUAUUUGAUCAUUGGACAAUUAUGAGAGAGCAAUAUAAUAUGUCCAUAAAAAAGGCAAGUAAAAUCCUAAGAAGUGCUGCAUGAAAUGCUUCCAAGGGAAAUAAGGAAGCAAUGAUGUCACUGGACAAGGCCUGAGGCUUGGUUUGGAGUACUGACCAAAACUCUUCAAGGCUGACUUUCAGACUGGACCACGUCUGAAGAAAAGGGUGGACAAAUUGUAUAUCAAUACAUUGUUUUAGGCUUCUCCUUUUGGGGAAGUACUGUUUGCAUUGAAGAAUAAGGAUGGCACAAUAAAACAUACAUCUAAAUCAACCAACCAGAAAUAGAUUUUGAAUGGAAAUCGGUCUUCCCAAAGAAGUGGUCCCUAGAGAUGAGAGGAGGUCUUCUGCACACGUGGCAGCACUACAGCCAGCCCCUGCCCCUACCUCCUUAGGCCAGACCCAAAGACUCAUUCCCUUCCUUACUGCGAGACCAACCGUGCGCUCAGUUCUCCCCAUCUGAUCUAGUACCUGCUUCACAAGGAAGAGACUCAGAUCACCUUCUGUCCGGAGAGACCUGGGAACAGUCAAUACGUCACCUAGUGCCACCACAGCAGAGGCAGCUUGGCAGUACGGCAGCAUCCAAACCCAUGGGGAACGGGGCUGAAUGCAAAGCCCUUCAUAAUGUCAACCCUGCAGCAUGAUGCCUGGCAGACAGAGGCUGAUCGCUGAGCUUGUCCCGGAGGGAUGGAUGCCCAGCAGUCAGUACAGAGCUGCCAGAGAAGCACGAUCCCCAGCACCUCGCCCAGACCUGCACGAGGACAGAGCGGCAAUGCAUGGUUAGCAACAGAGGGCUGUGGGCCAGGAUGAGAAAGAGCCAGCUUGGAAAUGCUUGUGGGGGAAACCUCAACAAAAGGGGAACAUAACCUCACUGCUCUGCAAAAUCCUGGGAAACAUUAAUACUGCGGUAUUAAUUGUAAGUCACAGGAAAUUAUUAUAGGAUCGGUUAAGUACAGGGGA